AUCGUCAGACCAUUCUGAAGAGGAGGAGUUGGCACAGUUAUUUCUCCUCUCUGGGCCUCAAUCUCCCUGCUGGCAAAAUGGGGAUCCUCGUCCCAGCUCCACUCACUCCAUAGGGUUCGUUUGAGGCUCAUGGAACCAAAGGAUCUAAAGAAGUCUGGCCAGAGGGACACUGAGAUGAGCAAUGUGGUUGGAGGAGAGGAUACUGACCCAAGAAUUCUCUGGAUAAGAAGAAGGAGGAGGGGAAGCCUGAAGUGGAUGGGUCGAGCCUCAGCCGUGGAAGAAUUGCUAAUUACAGCCACCCUAAGGAAAUAUCAAUGAUGGACGUCAAUAUUAUUGCCUCCUGCAUCCCUGCCUGUUUAUUUGGAGAUGAAAAGCGCCCUAGGGUCGUCUCUCCAGGACGAAGAUGAGUGAUGACAGAAGGGAGGAGAGCUGCACAUGGAGAAAAGGGCAUCCUCCAGCUGGAUUCAUUCAUGAAAUCAGGACCCAUUUCCUCUGGGCAGAGUCCUCUCCACUGAGGGCCCAGGGUUGGGGCUGAGGGCAAAGGAACCUGCACAGGCAGGAGGAACUAGUGAUCCUGCUCCCAGCCCUGGUUCAUCAAGUGACUGCAUGUAUUCCUCUUUGUGCCUCAGUUAACUCAUCUGAUAAAUGGGUAUGAUAAUUCCA
RNAcentral lists this non-coding RNA (663 nucleotides) under Pongo abelii (Sumatran orangutan). The record is from RNAcentral. Lineage: Eukaryota; Metazoa; Chordata; Mammalia; Primates; Hominidae.